This is a long non-coding RNA of Camellia sinensis, 859 nucleotides long. RefSeq lists it as uncharacterized. Lineage: Eukaryota; Viridiplantae; Streptophyta; Magnoliopsida; Ericales; Theaceae. The record is from RefSeq and is a predicted model, not a curated record.
ACUCUAUUAGGAUCCUUCUUGAAUCAGCAAUUCAUUAAAUUUAUUAAAUUGGUUGCUAAAGCUAGUUUAGAUGCUCAUCUACGUAUUGGUCCUCAUGUUUGUGCUAAAUGGAACUAUUGGUAAAGCUUAUAAAAUUUUGUUCCAAUCUAUUGUAGAGUAUACAAACCAACAAUUUAUCAGUGAACUUUGCCUUAUAGACUUUGUUUUUGAACAGUGGGUUUCCUCUUUGGUUGCAUUUCAUACCUGGAAUUCAGUUUCGAACUGAUAAUGAGUCAUUCAAGGUGGAAAUUGUGGACAUGAUGAAGCAAGAAAACUCUAUGCAUCCCAAGGUGGACCCAUUAUCUGAUCCGAGGUGAUUAUGUUGCCCAUAUAAAAUUCACUGUUCUGCUAAUGCCAAAUGGGUCAGACUGCAUUAUGUCUCAUCCUCUACAGGAGCUCUAGCCUACUAAAACAAUAGAUGACCCUGAAAUUAAAGCCUGGUUAGCUUUGGGCACAAAAACAAAGAAAGGUGGAGGGAAGAAGAAGAAAGGCAUGCUAGCAUUAUAUCCCGGAAAGACUGAUCAUAAAACUUUGGAACAACUCAUUUAAGCAUGCAAAUCGAAUUGUACUAUGCACUUAUAGGCCCAUCCUAAUCGUUCGUGUUUGCAGGUAAGAAGGGUAACAAGGUUGAGGCAUCACAGAAGCCAAGCCUAUGGAUGCUACAACAAAUGAAGCUACUGCCUCAAGAAUAAGAAAAUUUAAAUUUUGAUUUGAAUUUUCUUUUUUCUUAAUUUAAUUUUGGCUGCAAUUUUGUAUUUGUUUGGUUGCUGACUACAUUCCGGUGGUCAUUAGAUGUUGAAUCCUAAUUGGAUUUUCCUCA